Molecule: ribosomal RNA, 425 nt
Filed under: uncultured bacterium
Lineage: Bacteria
Description: partial 16S ribosomal RNA
Rfam family: Bacterial small subunit ribosomal RNA
Source: RNAcentral
GUGGGGAAUCUUGCGCAAUGGGCGAAAGCCUGACGCAGCCAUGCCGCGUGAAUGAUGAAGGUCUUAGGAUUGUAAAAUUCUUUCACCGGGGACGAUAAUGACGGUACCCGGAGAAGAAGCUCCGGCUAACUUCGUGCCAGCAGCCGCGGUAAUACGAAGGGGGCUAGCGUUGCUCGGAAUUACUGGGCGUAAAGGGAGCGUAGGCGGACAGCUUAGUUAGAGGUGAAAGCCCAGGGCUCAACCUUGGAAUUGCCUUUGAUACUGGCUGUCUUGAGUUUGGGAGAGGUGAGUGGAACUCCGAGUGUAGAGGUGAAAUUCGUAGAUAUUCGGAAGAACACCAGUGGCGAAGGCGACUCACUGGCCCAAUACUGACGCUGAGGCGCGAAAGCGUGGGGAGCAAACAGGAUUAGAAACCCCUGUAGUCC